GGAACAGGCAGAAUAAGCUCAGCUGGUAACAAUAUACUUAUAAGAGAUGUACAUAUCAGGUGGUAUAGAAAUAUGAUAAAUAAAUAAAUAUAAGGAGAGCUGUUCUGGCCUUUACUCUCCCAAGCUUCUUGCUUGCUUCAAAUUCCUCCAUCUUUUGCAGUAUGUGAAAGAAACUGGUCUAUAUUUGGAAAUAUACCAGAUCAAUAAAUGAAUGAAAAUGUGAAAAGUGUGUUGUGCCUCCAUGGACUCUGCUGUAAUAGAAGGGUAUCUCUUACCAGAGAGAAUUCCCAACAGGGACAAGUAAACAAGCUGUUUUGAACCAAGUAUAAGCCAUGCAUGUUAAGGGGAGAUAAGGAACCCAAGAGAACAUAUGGAUGGUCCACAUAUUAGAAGAGCGCGCAGCAGACUUGAAGAUGGCAUGGCAUGUGAUCAGUUAUUAAACGUGUUUGGGACACUCGGACUGGAAGUGGGGGAAGAAGUAGCACAUUUGUUUUAGCCCUGCCUUCUACUGGGAAGAAUUAACCUUUGCUCUGAUGUCCUUCUGACCAAGAGCAACAUUCUCUCUCUUAGACAUCACAGAAGAAAGAAGCCAGACAAAAAGGUAUGAUACAGCCCUCUGCCUGCUCUCUCCAGAUUCUUGUUACAAACCUUUAUCAUGCCCACCCUAAGCACCUUUUCCUCAGCUUUUCUGGAUCUUUUCUAUGUUCCUGUUCCAUGUGAGCCCACAAUUAUCUUAUAACACAUGUUUCUUAUUAGUUCCAAAGUGACUUGCUGUCCAUUAUUCUGCCCCUAGGAUUCCUUGUAUCAUGGCCAGUUCAUCUUCCUUUGAAAGCACUGAGAUUUUCUCGAAUGUCCACCCCCAUUUCCAGUCUGGAAUGCAAGAACUUGUGAACUUUGUUCAGAGCUUGCUGGAAACCAGAACAGACUCUAACAUGUCAAAGAAUACGCGGGCUCAUAUUGUGAGAGCAUUGCAAGACAUGAAUACUGCCUUGCAGCUGCUAGAUGGAGAGCUGAAGGCUGCUGAUGCCAAAUCUGUGGAGCUAAGUGCAAGAGUGAACACUUUGGAGGGUGAGAGAAGAGCACAGACACAGCAUCUCCCUCAAGUGCAGAUCCAACUGGAUUCAUAUAGAAACUCUGAAGAGCAGUGCAUAAAGAUGUUGGAAAUUAUUCAAAUAAAUCAUAAAGAAAUGGA
This is a long non-coding RNA of Hemicordylus capensis (graceful crag lizard), 1192 nucleotides long. RefSeq lists it as uncharacterized. NCBI's taxonomy places the organism in Eukaryota, Metazoa, Chordata, Lepidosauria, Squamata, Cordylidae. The transcript has 3 exons. The record is from RefSeq and is a predicted model, not a curated record.